UAGGCUGUUGAAAUCUAUCUCAUAUUUUUAGAAUGUGUGACAUUUAACACACUGAUGAAUAUUCCCAGCUUCAGUAUAUAGACCUUGCUUUCACAUUUAGACUGGGUUUUUCAGCUCAACUGUCUGGAUUUCCCCCCUUCCUGAUGCCUGGCACUUAUGAUCUGGGGAAGAAUAUGAAGAGGAUGCUCCUACUGCAGAUGACUUUGAAACACAUACAGACUGUCUAUCAGCACUGGAAGCGAGCACCUGAGGCAUCGUACCUGUGUAGCAGGAAGAAAUGGGAAUCCGAAGCUGAAGGGGAGGCUUUUCAUACCCAGGAUAGCCCAGCUGCAUGGAGUAUCAAGUCUACUGAGACUCUACAAUAACUGUUUCAUCAGAAGGAGAAGCCCCAGCACCCAGUGACAUGCAGAGAGCCACACAGAGGUUGAGGCAUUGAAACAAAUUCCUUGCCUUGGGCCCCAUCUUAAGUUAACUGCCUCCGCUCCAACCCUCCCUAACAAAACUCUGUCUGCUCAUUCUUUUUGAAUUAAAUGCAACACUUGACUUCUUUGAGUCAUUAGAGAUUAAAACUCUCUAUAAAAAAUUUUAUUUAGUAUAUAAAAAUAAUAUUAGCCAUUGAAAUGA
Molecule: long non-coding RNA, 624 nt
Organism: Mastomys coucha (southern multimammate mouse)
Lineage: Eukaryota; Metazoa; Chordata; Mammalia; Rodentia; Muridae
Exons: 3
Source: RefSeq, a predicted model, not a curated record